RNAcentral lists this transfer RNA (76 nucleotides) under Clostridium sp. KNHs216. RNAcentral describes it as "tRNA-Ala". It matches the Rfam family "tRNA". Rfam says of the family: Transfer RNA (tRNA) molecules are approximately 80 nucleotides in length. Lineage: Bacteria; Bacillati; Bacillota; Clostridia; Eubacteriales; Clostridiaceae. RNAcentral also lists the same sequence under 11 other names. The record is from RNAcentral.
GGGGCAUUAGCUCAGCUGGGAGAGCGCCACACUGGCAGUGUGGAGGUCAGCGGUUCGAUCCCGCUAUGCUCCACCA